UGCAGCUUUGUCGAAUUCGGUGCUUCCUCCCCAGUAGGCUGCUCUGGCCGAAACAGCUGCAACAGCGACCUCGUAGUUCAUGGGCCCCACGUUUCUUCACCAUAGAUCCUGGGGAUAAAUAUGUACUGCAGACAAAA
Molecule: small nucleolar RNA, 137 nt
Filed under: Stegastes partitus (bicolor damselfish)
Lineage: Eukaryota; Metazoa; Chordata; Actinopteri; Pomacentridae
Description: Small nucleolar RNA SNORA5 (ENSSPAG00000019315.1)
Rfam family: Small nucleolar RNA SNORA5
About the family: ACA5 is a member of the H/ACA class of snoRNA that guide the sites of modification of uridines to pseudouridines.
Source: Rfam by way of RNAcentral